RNAcentral lists this ribosomal RNA (431 nucleotides) under uncultured bacterium. RNAcentral's name for it is "partial 16S ribosomal RNA". It matches the Rfam family "Bacterial small subunit ribosomal RNA", at positions 30 to 507 of the family's 1533-position model. The record is from RNAcentral.
CGAACGCUGGCGGCAUGCCUAACACAUGCAAGUCGAACGAGACCUUCGGGUCUAGUGGCGCACGGGUGCGUAACGCGUGGGAACCUGCCCUUAGGUUCGGAAUAACUCCCCGAAAGGGGUGCUAAUACCGGAUAAUGUCUUCGGACCAAAGAUUUAUCGCCUUUGGAUGGGCCCGCGUUGGAUUAGCUAGUUGGUAGGGUAAAAGCCUACCAAGGCGACGAUCCAUAGCUGGUCUGAGAGGAUGAUCAGCCACACUAGGACUGAGACACGGCCCAGACUCCUACGGGAGGCAGCAGUGGGGAAUAUUGGACAAUGGGCGAAAGCCUGAUCCAGCAAUGCCGCGUGAGUGAUGAAGGCCUUAGGGUUGUAAAGCUCUUUUACCCGGGAUGAUAAUGACAGUACCGGGAGAAUAAGCUCCGGCUAACUCCGUG